GAUGAACGCUGGCGGCGUGCCUAACACAUGCAAGUCGAGCGGCAGCGCGGGGUGCUUGCACCCUGUCGGCGAGCGGCGGACGGCUGAGUAACGCGUGGGAACGUGCCCCAAAGUGAGGAAUAACUGCCCGAAAGGGUAGCUAAUACCGCAUAUUAUCUUCGGAUCAAAGGAUUUAUCCGCUUUGGGAGCGGCUCGCGUCGGAUUAGGUAGUUGGUGGGGUAAUGGCUCACCAAGCCGACGAUCCGUAGCUGGUCUGAGAGGAUGACCAGCCAGACUGGAACUGAGACACGGUCCAGACUCCUACGGGAGGCAGCAGUGAGGAAUCUUCCACAAUGGGCGAAAGCCUGAUGGAGCAACGCCGCGUGCAGGACGAAGGCCUUCGGGUUGUAAACUGCUUUUAUAAGUGAGGAAUAUGACGGUAACUUAUGAAUAAGGAUCGGCUAACUACGUG
This 451-nucleotide ribosomal RNA is filed under the name uncultured bacterium. Its description in RNAcentral is "partial 16S ribosomal RNA". It matches the Rfam family "Bacterial small subunit ribosomal RNA", at positions 28 to 507 of the family's 1533-position model. The record is from RNAcentral.